UGUGCUUCUCUGAAAGUAUGCUCUUGGGAGAUUUAGCUAUUGUUGUUUUGCUUGGUAAACAAAUGACAUGCUAAAAUGUUGGUUGUUAGAGCCUCCCUGUUCUUCUAAAAAAAUGUUUGGUUGUUAGUACAGAGGUGGUGACACUAUUUAGUCCUCUGGUAUUGAUUCAUGAUUUGUGCUUAAUACAUGAUGUUGGUAUCUGAUCACUUUAUUGCUCAUGCCUCACUUGAUGUUGCAUGGUGUACAGGCAAAGUGCCAAUGGAGUGGCAUAUAUCGUACUUCGCUACUACCUACAUGCGAUUCCAUUUGAUUUCACUUUGAUUUUUGUUUUUCUGCUGAUCGUUUCUAGGUGGUUGUUGAUGAAUCAUGUAAGGAUGGUGCAGAACUCACAAGAGGGAAAAGACCGAACUGCGGUAACCAAAUCAAAUAGCUGAUAAGGUACAAAUUUCUGAAGAUAUAUGGUUUUCCCUAAACAAGCAUAUACAUCAUAGUACAAAGGGGAAUUACAUCUCUAUUUUAUGUUAUGUUUUCUGCUUGCUAUCUUGUUCAUGGACUCUCUGUAAGUGCGCCUUUCUAUUAGCAACCUUAGUGCCAAUGACUCAACAGUCAGCUAUCAACCAGAAUAGUAGGGCAUUGAGCUUGUUUAAACUGUAGAGUACACAUGCAUAUACUAUUACUCAGACAUCAAGAAAACAUGAGAUAAACAUGUAUGACGAUCUACCAUGUUAUUACUCAGGUGUUGAUUAGGAAGUAGACAUAGGUUUAGCAGAGAAGAAGUUUCAGUGAUUUAUCAGUUCAGGCUAUGGAAGUAAACAUGAGGCAUUGAAGCUAAUUUGAAAUAGGCGUGAUGAACCAAACAUUUUUGUAAUUGCCAUUAGUGGGUCAACAGGGUAGGCAUUUUCAUGAGACAAUAUUGAUUUUAAUGAUGGCUAAUAAUUACACUGCUGCCUUUGUUUCAAAAGUAAAAUUUUGCUAUCUUUGACCUUGCCUCUAGGAAAAAAAUCAGCUCAAAACUGAAAUACUCCGGAUUUAGUAGAUAUCUUUUAGACGUAAUACUGUGUUGUUUGUGAAGGUUCACUUGGAAGUGGUUGAGGUAGCCUGACCUGGUGAGACCUGGUGACGCGAUGCAUACAUCGGAGGAAGUAGAUCUGUGAGUGCGGGAGUGGAUCUUGCAAUUGAAGUCGUGUCUCCGAUGCAGAGGAGCAGCGGCGAUGCGGUGGAAACUACAGGGUGAGUGAGAGAUUGGAGGAGGGGAUGGUCAUGAAGUAAGUGGAUUAACAUCGUCUGGUCAAGUAACUUGGGCCAGCCCAUUAUUGUGAAUCUGUCAUUUGUCUUCUUGUAAGCCCACAAC
RNAcentral lists this long non-coding RNA (1351 nucleotides) under Triticum aestivum (bread wheat). RNAcentral describes it as "long non-coding RNA (TAES_LNC018994)". Lineage: Eukaryota; Viridiplantae; Streptophyta; Magnoliopsida; Poales; Poaceae. The record is from RNAcentral.